UUUACUUCUGUAUGUUUAUAAAUUAUAUUAUUGAAGAAAAUUAUUUAGAAAGAAUUAUAAAUAUUGUUGUCAUUAUUAGUCAUGAAAAGUUUAUAAUUAUUUAUUUCUACGCACAAAAUUCGAUCUUUCAAUCUCAGAAUUACUGAUCGUGGAUACAGAACAUCCACGUUCCCUGACAACAUGCAAUGCCUAGAUCUUCUUUUAAUUUUCCGCUUGGCACAGUUGUGUGAUUUGAGUUUGCAAUAUCUCGCAAAUUGCAAAAACAGUAUGUCCUGCAAUUUUAUUUUUACACGAACCACAACUUCGUGAACGUCAAAAUGCUUCUCGCACAAAGUAUGUACUUAUACGCAACGCACGAACGUGAUGGUUGCACUAUUGCUAUAUAAAAAGGAAAGAGAGAUAGAAUGAAAGAGAAAGAGAGAAUGAGUAUAGAGAGAAAGAAAAAGAGUGAAAGAAAAAGCAACAAUAAAAUAAAUAUGAACGAAAGAAGGAACAUCGCAAUAUCGCGAAAAUCCAAGUAGGAUAAAUAGGAACAGAAAAAAAUAUAUAGAUAUUUUAUUUUCGAAACAGAAAAAAAAAAAAAAAAUAUCGUUUUUAUACAAUGUUA
Molecule: long non-coding RNA, 607 nt
Organism: Apis dorsata (giant honeybee)
Lineage: Eukaryota; Metazoa; Arthropoda; Insecta; Hymenoptera; Apidae
Exons: 2
Source: RefSeq, a predicted model, not a curated record